AUGAACGCUGGCGGCGUGCCUAACACAUGCAAGUCGAACGGACUAGAAUGAAACCUAGUGAUUUUAGUUAGUGGCGGACGGGUGAGUAACGCGUGGGUAACCUGCCUCAUACAGGGGGAUAACAGUUAGAAAUGACUGCUAAUACCGCAUAAGCGCACAGUACCGCAUGGUACAGUGUGAAAAGCCGAGACGGUAUGAGAUGGACCCGCGUCUGAUUAACUAGUUGGUGAGGUAAUGGCUCACCAAGGUAACGAUGCGUAGCCGAACUGAGAGGUUGAACGGCCACACUGGGACUGAGACACGGCCCAGACUCCUACGGGAGACAGCAGUUAGGAAUAUUCGUCAAUGGGGGAAACCCUGAACGAGCAAUGCCGCGUGAGUGAUGAAGGCCCUAUGGGUUGUAAAACUCUGUUGUAUGGGAAGAAUGGCUAUAUUAGGAAAUGAAUAUAGAAUGACGGUACCAUACCAGAAAGCUCCGGCUAACUACGUG
Molecule: ribosomal RNA, 490 nt
Filed under: uncultured bacterium
Lineage: Bacteria
Description: bacterial SSU rRNA
Rfam family: Bacterial small subunit ribosomal RNA
Source: RNAcentral